Molecule: ribosomal RNA, 449 nt
Filed under: uncultured bacterium
Lineage: Bacteria
Description: partial 16S ribosomal RNA
Rfam family: Bacterial small subunit ribosomal RNA
Source: RNAcentral
AACGAACGCUGGCGGCAGGCCUAACACAUGCAAGUCGAACGCCCUAGCAAUAGGGAGUGGCAGACGGGUGAGUAACACGUGGGAACCUUCCCUAUAGUACGGAAUAGCCCAGGGAAACUUGGAGUAAUACCGUAUACGCCCGAGAGGGGAAAGAUUUAUCGCUAUAGGAUGGGCCCGCGUCGGAUUAGCUAGUUGGUGAGGUAACGGCUCACCAAGGCAACGAUCCGUAGCUGGUUUGAGAGAAUGACCAGCCACACUGGGACUGAGACACGGCCCAGACUCCUACGGGAGGCAGCAGUGGGGAAUCUUGGACAAUGGGCGCAAGCCUGAUCCAGCCAUGCCGCGUGAGUGAAGAAGGUCUUCGGAUUGUAAAGCUCUUUUGCCAGGGACGAUAAUGACGGUACCUGGAGAAUAAGCCCCGGCAAACUUCGUGCCAGCCGCCGCCGUAA